ACCCAUAAUCUUUGUCGGCCUCAGCUUUAUAAUUUUUCGGGUGACUAACUUUAUUGAAAUAAGUGUAUCCAGUAAUCUUUUGCCUUCUUCCUUAGUCUUGGAUGGGGUAGGAGUUCGAACGGCUCAUUUACUUUUGACGAUGUUAUACAAUUGGCCUAACUUUCUCAUUUCCUUAUAUUCAUCUCAAAUAUCGGUAAGGACAUUCCGCAGAGAAUCUUUUCUUCUAGAAGGCUUGAACAAAUUUUCAAUGACAGAUAUCCCCUUCUCGYUCCCUCCCCCUUCGCUUCUUUUUUGCUCGGUCUCAAUUCUCGCUCCAAAGUUCCCCCUAAACCCCGGUUUUUCCCCAAACCCACAAGAACGUCUGCUUUGCAGGCUACUUCCGUUGAGAAAUCAGUGAAGAAUCAUGAUAACGUGGAGUGGAAGAAAGAUGAAAGAGUAUUCAACCUGACCAAAUCUCCCGAUCAAACGGAAACCGCUCAAGACGAUUCAGCAGUGUCUCCCGUUGGGGAAUCAGUGAAGAAUCAUGAUUACGUGGUAUGAUUU
This is a long non-coding RNA of Actinia tenebrosa (Australian red waratah sea anemone), 543 nucleotides long. The record is from RefSeq and is a predicted model, not a curated record. NCBI's taxonomy places the organism in Eukaryota, Metazoa, Cnidaria, Anthozoa, Actiniaria, Actiniidae.